CCGGACUGCAGUGGCACAAUCUCGGCUCACUGCAAGCUCCACCUCCCGGGUUCACGCCAUUCUCCUGCCUCAGCCUCCCGAGUAGCUGGGACCACAGGUGCCCACCACCACGCCCGGCUAAUUUUUUGUAUUUUUAGUAGAGACGGGGUUUCACCGUGUUGGCCAGGAUGGUCUCGAUCUCCUGACCUUGUGAUCCACCCACCUCGGCCUCCCAAAGAGCUGGGAUUACAGGCGCCCGCCACCACGCCCGGCUAAUUUU
RNAcentral lists this long non-coding RNA (259 nucleotides) under Homo sapiens (human). Its description in RNAcentral is "HSALNT0406785". Lineage: Eukaryota; Metazoa; Chordata; Mammalia; Primates; Hominidae. The record is from RNAcentral.